Desulfobacteraceae bacterium 4572_35.1 is the source of this 130-nucleotide non-coding RNA. The record is from Rfam. NCBI's taxonomy places the organism in Bacteria, Pseudomonadati, Thermodesulfobacteriota, Desulfobacteria, Desulfobacterales, Desulfobacteraceae.
UUUUCCUUUUAAGCUGAUCCAGAGAGGUUGGUAAAGGUGAUUGUUUAUGUGUUACGCGUUGCAACAGAAGCAAACUAAAGCUGUCUUAUUUCAAUACCCUUCCGUAAAUUUAUGGAGGGGUAUUUUUGUU